Non-coding RNA from Lolium perenne, 334 nucleotides. Lineage: Eukaryota; Viridiplantae; Streptophyta; Magnoliopsida; Poales; Poaceae. The record is from RefSeq and is a predicted model, not a curated record.
UAUGUAUUUGAGUUUAAAGAGCCAGUACAAUAACAAAGUUAUCUCAGUUCUCGAAAGUUAAAUGGACCUUGAACCAUUUGAUCCUAUUUCCGUGGACAAAUUUAUGUUGUGGAACUUGAUGGGGUCAAAUCCAUGUGCCUCCAAAUCAUAAAGAAGAUGGAGUUUAAUAUAAGAAUGGGCAUACAUCUUGAUGUUCGCGUAGAUAAAUGUUGAACUUUUUGAAUUUUUUUACCAUUAUGCAAGUUGGGGAUCUUUCCGUUUGUUCACCGAAACCUGCUCUUCUAGCUAUAUUCUACCUUUUUUCUUAUCGUACCUAUAUUCUCUCUUGUUUUGU